CAGCAUGUCUAAGUUCAAAUAAACCUAUAAUGGUGAAACCGCGAACGGCUCAUUAUAACAGCUAUAAUGUACUUGAUGUUGAUUAUCCAACGUGGAUAACUGUGGCAAUUCUAGAGCUAAUACAUGCACCAAAGCUCCGACUUUUGAACGAGCGCAUCUAUUAGAUUAAAACCAAUCGGGUUAUUAGCCCGUUAAUUGGUGACUCUGAAUAGCUAUGGCUGAUCGCAUGGUCUUGUACCGGCGACGUAUCUAUCAAGUGUCUGCCUUAUCAACUUUCGAUGGUAGUUUAUGUGCCUACCAUGGUUGUAACGGGUAACGGAGAAUAAGGGUUCGACUCCGGAGAGGGAGCCUGAGAAACGGCUACCACAUCCAAGGAAGGCAGCAGGCGCGCAAAUUACCCACUCUCAGAAUGAGGAGGUAGUGACGAAAAAUAACGAGACCGUUCUCUUUGAGGCCGGUUAUCGGAAUGGGUACAAUUUAAACCUGUUAACGAGGAUCUAUGAGAGGGCAAGUCUGGUGCCAGCAGCCGCGGUAAUUCCAGCUCUCAAAGUGUAUAUCGUCAUUGCUGCGGUUAAAAAGCUCGUAGUUGGAUCUGCGUCUCAGGACCUGGUCCAUCCAUUGGAUGAGAACUGGGCUCCUAGGCUAAUAUUGCCAGUUUUCCAUACGUUACCUUGAUUGGUUGCGUAUGGUGGCUAGCAAGUUUACCUUGAAAAAAUUAGAGUGCUCAAUGCGGGCUAAUGCCUGAAUACUCGUGCAUGGAAUAAUGAAAUAGGAUCUCGGUUCUAUUUUGUUGGUUUUCUGAUCUGAGAUAAUGGUUAAGAGGGACGGACGGGGGCAUUCGUAUCGCUGCGUGAGAGGUGAAAUUCUUGGACCGUAGCGAGACGUCCGACUGCGAAAGCAUG
This 902-nucleotide ribosomal RNA is filed under the name Dirofilaria repens. Its description in RNAcentral is "SSU rRNA". It matches the Rfam family "Eukaryotic small subunit ribosomal RNA", at positions 50 to 955 of the family's 1831-position model. The record is from RNAcentral. Lineage: Eukaryota; Metazoa; Nematoda; Chromadorea; Rhabditida; Onchocercidae.